GACGAACGCUGGCGGCGUGCUUAACACAUGCAAGUCGAACGGAAAGGCUCCAGCUUGCUGGCGUACUCGAGUGGCGAACGGGUGAGUAACACGUGGGUAAUCUGCCCUGCACUCUGGGAUAAGCCUGGGAAACUGGGUCUAAUACUGGAUAUGACCUUUCUCCUUAUGGGGUUUGGUGGAAAGUUUUUCGGUGUAGGAUGAGCCCGCGGCCUAUCAGCUUGUUGGUGGGGUGAUGGCCUACCAAGGCGACGACGGGUAGCCGGCCUGAGAGGGUGAUCGGCCACAUUGGGACUGAGAUACGGCCCAGACGCCUACGGGAGGCAGCAGUGGGGAAUAUUGCACAAUGGGCGGAAGCCUGAUGCAGCGACGCCGCGUGAGGGAUGACGGCCUUCGGGUUGUAAACCUCUUUCAGCAGGGACGAAGCGUAAGUGACGGUACCUGCAGAAGAAGCACCGGCUAACUACGUG
This 467-nucleotide ribosomal RNA is filed under the name uncultured bacterium. RNAcentral describes it as "partial 16S ribosomal RNA". It matches the Rfam family "Bacterial small subunit ribosomal RNA", at positions 28 to 507 of the family's 1533-position model. The record is from RNAcentral.